GAUAAUGGCUCAGGAUGAACGCUAGCUACAGGCUUAACACAUGCAGGUCGAGGGGCGAGCAUGGUCUUAGCUUGCUAAGGCUGAUGGCGACCGGCGCACGGGUGAGUAACACGUAUCCAACCUGCCGUCUACUCUUGGCCAGCCUUCUGAAGGAAGAUUAAUCCAGGAUGGGAUCAUGAGUUCACAUGUCCGCAUGAUUAAAGGUAUUUUCCGGUAGACGAUGGGG
RNAcentral lists this ribosomal RNA (226 nucleotides) under uncultured bacterium. RNAcentral's name for it is "partial 16S ribosomal RNA". It matches the Rfam family "Bacterial small subunit ribosomal RNA", at positions 15 to 230 of the family's 1533-position model. The record is from RNAcentral.